This 292-nucleotide ribosomal RNA is filed under the name uncultured bacterium. RNAcentral describes it as "partial 16S ribosomal RNA". It matches the Rfam family "Bacterial small subunit ribosomal RNA", at positions 505 to 796 of the family's 1533-position model. The record is from RNAcentral.
GUGUCAGCCGCCGCGGUAAUACGUAGGGGGCAAGCGUUGUCCGGAAUUAUUGGGCGUAAAGCGCACGCAGGCGGUUCGCUAAGUUCGAGGUGACAAUCAGCGGCUUAACCGGUGAACGAUUUCGAAAACUGGCGGACUUGAGAGCGAGAGAGGGACAUGGAACUCCGGGUGGAGCGGUGAAAUGCGUAGAGAUCCGGAAGAACACCAAUGGCGAAGGCAGUGUCCUGGCUCGUAUCUGACGCUGAGGUGCGAAAGCUAGGGGAGCGAACGGGAUUAGAUACCCGUGUAGUCC